UUAUCCGGAUUUAUUGGGUGUAAAGGGUGCGUAGACGGGAAGACAGUUGGUUGUGAAAGCCCUCGGCUCAACUGAGGAACUGCAACCAAAACUAUCAUUCUUGAGUGCGGGAGAGGAAAGUGGAAUUCCUAGUGUAGCGGUGAAAUGCGUAGAUAUUAGGAGGAACACCAGUGGCGAAGGCGACUUUCUGGACCGUAACUGACGUUGAGGCACGAAAGUGUGGGGAGCAAACAGGAUUAGAUACCCUGGUAGUCCACACCGUAAACGAUGGAUACUAGGUGUAGGGAACGAUAUGUUUUCUGUGCCGAAAGCAAACGCAAUAAGUAUCCCACCUGGGGAGUACGGCCGCAAGGUUGAAACUCAAAGGAAUUGACGGGGGCCCGCACAAGCAAUGGAUUAUGUGGUUUAA
This 409-nucleotide ribosomal RNA is filed under the name uncultured bacterium. RNAcentral's name for it is "bacterial SSU rRNA". It matches the Rfam family "Bacterial small subunit ribosomal RNA", at positions 541 to 949 of the family's 1533-position model. The record is from RNAcentral.